GAUGAACGCUGGCGGCGUGCCUAAUACAUGCAAGUCGAGCGAACGGACGAGAAGCUUGCUUCUCUGAUGUUAGCGGCGGACGGGUGAGUAACGCGUGGAUAACCUACCUAUAAGACUGGGAUAACUUCGGGAAACCGGAGCUAAUACCGGAUAAUAUUUUGAACCGCAUGGUUCAAAAGUGAAAGACGGUCUUGCUGUCACUUAUAGAUGGAUCCGCGCUGCAUUAGCUAGUUGGUAAGGUAACGGCUUACCAAGGCAACGAUGCAUAGCCGACCUGAGAGGGUGAUCGGCCACACUGGAACUGAGACACGGUCCAGACUCCUACGGGAGGCAGCAGUAGGGAAUCUUCCGCAAUGGGCGAAAGCCUGACGGAGCAACGCUGCGUGAGUGAUGAAGGUCUUCGGAUCGUAAAACUCUGUUAUUAGGGAAGAACAUAUGUGUAAGUAACUGUGCACAUCUUGACGGUACCUAAUCAGAAAGCCACGGCUAACUACGUG
This 497-nucleotide ribosomal RNA is filed under the name uncultured bacterium. RNAcentral describes it as "partial 16S ribosomal RNA". It matches the Rfam family "Bacterial small subunit ribosomal RNA", at positions 28 to 507 of the family's 1533-position model. The record is from RNAcentral.